This 4270-nucleotide long non-coding RNA is filed under the name Salmo salar (Atlantic salmon). RNAcentral's name for it is "lncRNA (ENSSSAG00000099313.1)". The record is from RNAcentral. Lineage: Eukaryota; Metazoa; Chordata; Actinopteri; Salmoniformes; Salmonidae.
GAAGUUGGAAGUUUACAUACACCUUUGCCAAAUACAUUUAAACUCAGUUUUUCACAAUUCCUGACAUUUAAUCCUAGUAAAAAUUCCCUGUCUUAGGUCAGUUAGGAUCACCACUUUAUUUUAAGAAUGUGAAAUGUCAGAAUAAUAGUAGAGAGAAUGAUUUAUUUCAGCUUUAUUUCUUUCAUCACAUUCCCAGUGGGUCAGAAGUUUACAUACACUCAAUUAGUAUUUAGUAGCAUUGCCUUUAAAUUGUUUAACUUGUGUCAAACGUUUUGGGUAGCAUUCCACAAGCUUCCCACAAUAAAUUGGGUGAAUUUUGGCCAAUUCCUCCUGACAAAGCUGGUGUAACUGAGUCACGUUUGUAGGCCUCGUUGCUCGCACACACUUUUUCAGUUCUGCCCACAAAUUUUCUAUAGGAUUGAGUUCAGGGCUUUGUGAUGGCCACUCCAAUACCUAGACUUUGUUGUCCUUAAGCCAUUUGCCACAACUUUGGAAGUAUGUCCAUUUGGAAGACCCAAUUGCGACCAAGCUUUAACUUCCUGACUGAUGUCUUGAGAUGUUCCUUCAAUAUGUCCACAUAAUUUUCCUUCAUCAUGAUGCCAUCUAUUUUGUGAAGUGCACCAGUCCUUCCUGCAGCAAAUCAACCCCACAACAUGAUGCUGCCACCCCUGUGCUAUACAGUUGGGAUGGUGUUCUUCGGCUUGCAAGCAUCCACCUUUUUCCUUAAAACAUAACGAUGGUCUUUAUGGCCAAACAGUUCUAUUUUUGUUUCAUCAGACCAGAGGACAUUUCUCCAAAAAGUACGAUCUUUGUCCCCAUGUGCAGUUGCAAACCGUAGUCUGGCUUUUUUAUGGCGGUUUUGGAGCAGUCAAAAUCAAAAUCAAAUCAAAUGUAUUUAUUUAUAUAGCCCUUCUUACAUCAGCUGAUAUCUCAAAGUGCUGUACAGAAACCCAGCCUAAAACCCCAAACAGCAAGUAAUGCAGGUGUAGAAGCACGGUGGCUAGGAAAAACUCCCUAGAAAGGCCAAAACCUAGGAAGAAACCUAGAGAGGAACCAGGCUAUGAGGGGUGGCCAGUCCUCUUCUGGCUGUGCCGGGUGGAGAUUAUAACAGAACAUGGCCAAGAUGUUUAAAUGUUCAUAAAUGACCAGCAUGGUCAAAUAAUAAUAAUCACAGUAGUUGUCGAGGGUGCAACAAGUCAGCACCUCAAGAGUAAAUGUCAGUUGGCUUUUCAUAGCCGAUCAUUGAGAGUAUCUCUACCGCUCUUGCUGUCUCUAGAGAGUUGAAAACAGCAGGUCUGUGACAGGUAGCACGUCCGGUGAACAGGUUAGGGUUCCAUAUCCGCAAGCAGAACAGUUGAAACUGGAGCAGCAGCACGGCCAGGUGGACUGGGGACAGCAAGGAGUCAUCAUGCCAGGUAGUCCUGAGGCAUGGUCCUAGGGCUCAGGUCCUCCGAGAGAGAGAAAGAGAGAAUUAGAGAGAGCAUACUUAAAUUCACACAGGACACCGCAUAAGACAGGAGAAAUACUCCAGAUAUAACAGACUGACCCUAGCCCCCCGACACAACUACUGCAGCAUAAAUACUGGAGGCUGAGACAGGAGGGGUCAGGAGACACUGUGGCCCCAUCUGAUGAUACCCCCGGACAGGGCCAAACAGGCAGGAUAUAACCCCACCCACUUUGCCAAAGCACAGCCCCCACACCACUAGAGGGAUAACUUCAACCACCAACUUACCAUCCUGAGACAAGGCCGAGUAUAGCCCAAAGAUCUCCGCCACGGCACAACCCAAGGGGGGGCGCCAACCCAGACAGGAAGACCACGUCAGUGACUCAACCCGCUCAAGUGACGUACCCCUCCUAGGGAUGGCAUGGAAGAACACCAGUAAGCCAGUGACUCAGCCCCUGUAAUAGGGUUAGAGGCAGAGAAUCCCAGUGGAGAGAGGGGAACCGGCCAGGCAGAGACAGCAAGGGCAGUUCAUUGCUCCAGCCUUUCCGUUCACCUUCACACUCCUGGGCCAGACUACACUCAAUCAUAGGACCUACUGAAGAGAUGAGUCUUCAGUAAAGACUUAAAGGUUGAGCCCGAGUCUGCGUCUCUCACAUGGGUAGGCAGACCAUUCCAUAAAAAUGGAGCUCUAUAGGAGAAAGCCCUGCCUCCAGCUGUUUUGGCCUUUCUAGGGAGUUUUUCCUAGGGAGUUUUUCCUAGCCACCGUGCUUCUUUCACAUGCAUUGCUUGCUGUUUGGGGUUUUAGGCUGGGUUUCUGUACAGCACUUUGAGAUAUCAGCUGAUGUACGAAGGGCUAUAUAAAUAAAUUUGAUUUGAUUUGCUAGUGGCAGACUCCACUAAGCUGGCAGGCUGGCUAACAGCCUGCUGCCUGGCCUGCACCCUGUUUCAUUGUGUAGCUUGGGGAGUUAGAGCCCUAUCUAUGUUCGUAGAUAAGAUGAGAGCACCCCUCCAGCUAGGAUGGAGUCCGUCACUCCUCAACAGGCCAGGCGUGGUCCUGUUUGUGGGUGAGUUCCAGAAAGAGGGCCAAUUAUCUACAAAUUAUAUCUUUUGGGAGGGGCAGAAAACAGUUUUCAACCAGCGAUUGAGUUAUGAGACUCUGCUGUAGAGCUCAUCACUCCCCCUAACUGGGAGGGGGCCAGAGACAAUUACUCGAUGCCGACACAACUUUCUAUCUGAUUUACACGCUGAAGCUAUGUUGCACUUGGUGACCUCUGACUGUUUCAUCCUAACAUCGUUGGUGCCGACGUGGAUAACAAUCUCUCUAUACUCUCUACACUCGCCAGUUUUAGCUUUAGCCAGCACCAUCUUCAGAUUAGCCUUAACGUUGGUAGCCCUGCCCCCUGGUAAACAGUGUAUGAUCGCUGGAUGAUUCGUUUUAAGUCUAAUACUGCGGGUAAUGGAGUCGCCAAUGACUAGGGUUUUCAAUUUGUCAGAACUAAUGGUGGGAAGCUUCGGCGUCUCAGACCCCGUAACGGGAGUAGAGUCCAGAGAAGGCUCGGCCUCUGACUCCGACCCGCUGCUUAAUGGGGAGAACCGGUUGAAAGUUUCUGUCGGCUUAAUAAGCGACACCGGUUGAGCAUUCCUACAGCAUUUCUCUCCAGAAGCCAUAAGAAAGUUGUCCGGCUGCGGGGACCGUGCGAGGGGAUUUAUACUAAUGUUACUAUCUGUACUUACUGGUGGCACAGACGUUGUUUCAUCCUUUUCUACACUGAAAUUACCCUUGCCUAACGAUUGCGUCUGAAGCUGGACUUGCAGCACAGCUAUCCUUGCCAUAAGGCGAUCGUUCUCCUGUAUAUUAUGAGUACAGCGACUGCAAUUAGAAGGCAUCAUGUUAAUGUUACUACUUAGCUUCGGCUGUUGGAACUCCUGACGAACCAUGUCCAGAUAAAAUGUCCGGAAUGAACAAGUUGAAUGAAAAAAGUUGAGUGAGGGAAAAACUAAAAAUAUAAACGGUAAUUAAAAAGUAAAAACCGUAAAGUUGUCAGGUAGCAAAGUAAGGUUGGCAACAAAAACGCACAGCAGCACGUAAACAAGUCUGCAAGUUGUCCUGGGAAAAAAAUCGCGUUCGAAUGGAACUUUGGGCAGUGGCUUCUUCCUUGCUAAGCGGCCUUUCAGGUUAUGUCGAUAUAGGACUCGUUUUACUGUGGACAUAGAUACUUUUUCACCUGUUUCCUCCAGCAUCUUCACAAGGUCCUUUGCUGUUGUUCUGGGAUUGAUUUGCACUUUUCGCACCAAAGUACGUUCAUCUCUAGGAGACAGAACGCGUCUCCUUCCUGAGCGGUAUGACGGCUGCGUGGUCCCAUGGUGUUUAUACUUGUGUACUAUUGUUUGUACAGAUGAAUGUGGUACCUUCAGGCGUUUGACUUGUGGAGGUCUACAAUUUUUCUGAGGUCUUGGCUGAUUUCUUUUGAUUUUCCCAUGAUGUCAAGCAAAGAGGCACUGAGUUUGAAGGUUGGCUUGAAAUACAUCCACAGGUACACCUCCAAUUGACUCAAAUGAUGUCAAUUAGCCUAUCAGAUGCUUCUAAAGCCAUGACAUCAUUUUCUGGAAUUUUCUAAGCUGUUUAAAGGCACAGUCAACUUAGUGUAUGUAAACUUCUGACCCACUGGAAUUGUGAUAAAGUGAAAUAUAAGUGAAAUAAUCUGUCUGUAAACAAUUGUUGGAAAAAUGACUUGUGUCAUGCACAAAGUAGAUGUCCUAACCGACUUGCCAAAACUAUAGUUUGUCAACAAGACAUUUGUGAAGUGGUUGAGAAACGAGUUUUAA